UUCACGGAGAGUUUGAUCCUGGCUCAGGACGAACGCUGGCGGCGUGCUUAACACAUGCAAGUCGAACGGUGAAG
This 74-nucleotide non-coding RNA is filed under the name Actinacidiphila paucisporea. RNAcentral describes it as "Streptomyces paucisporeus Bacterial small subunit ribosomal RNA". It matches the Rfam family "Bacterial small subunit ribosomal RNA", at positions 1 to 74 of the family's 1533-position model. RNAcentral also lists the same sequence under 1 other name. The record is from Rfam by way of RNAcentral. Lineage: Bacteria; Bacillati; Actinomycetota; Actinomycetes; Kitasatosporales; Streptomycetaceae.